UAAUUGAAGAGUUUGAUCAUGGCUCAGAUUGAACGCUGGCGGCAGGCCUAACACAUGCAAGUCGAGCGGCAGCACAGAGGAACUUGUUCCUUGGGUGGCGAGCGGCGGACGGGUGAGUAAUGCCUGGGAAAUUGCCCGGUAGAGGGGGAUAACCAUUGGAAACGAUGGCUAAUACCGCAU
Molecule: ribosomal RNA, 180 nt
Filed under: Vibrio cholerae
Lineage: Bacteria; Pseudomonadati; Pseudomonadota; Gammaproteobacteria; Vibrionales; Vibrionaceae
Description: partial 16S ribosomal RNA
Rfam family: Bacterial small subunit ribosomal RNA
Source: RNAcentral